Molecule: transfer-messenger RNA, 361 nt
Filed under: Turneriella parva DSM 21527
Lineage: Bacteria; Pseudomonadati; Spirochaetota; Leptospiria; Leptospirales; Leptospiraceae
Rfam family: transfer-messenger RNA
About the family: Bacterial tmRNA, also known as 10Sa RNA or SsrA, is named for its dual tRNA and mRNA-like properties. Its role is to liberate the mRNA from a stalled ribosome.
Source: Rfam by way of RNAcentral
GGGGACGCAUUGGCUUCGAUUGCCGAAUGGGUUGUUUGAAAAGCAUGCAUGGUAGCCUCCAUAAAAGGCAAUCUGUAUAACUGCAGAAAACGAAACUUACGCUCUCGCUGCUUAAUCGCUAGCGAAGGCAAACCGGCUUCGGCCGGUACGGAUUAUGCUCUGAGUCUGCGGAAGGCAUAAUCUUAACCUACAGCAGAAUAGCGGGGGUAUUUGCGGCGCGUACCCUGGCGAAGUUAAGUCGCUAAGCGAGUGAAUGGCCUGUCGUUGGGCUAUCGCGAGCCGAAAAAACAAACACCGACUAAGCAUGUAGAAAGCGAAUGAUUCGGCGGUAAGACGCGGGUUCGACUCCCGCCGUCUCCAA